Molecule: long non-coding RNA, 2323 nt
Organism: Epinephelus fuscoguttatus (brown-marbled grouper)
Lineage: Eukaryota; Metazoa; Chordata; Actinopteri; Perciformes; Serranidae
Exons: 3
Source: RefSeq, a predicted model, not a curated record
UAAAGGCAACAUGUAAAUGAUGGAUUAUCAAAUCAAUCAUUGUUUAUGACACUGAACUUCUGAACACAUUGUCCCUGACUGUGUGUGAAUAAAGACUUUAUACUGCUGACUCGUCAUUGUUUGUUGUGUCUCACUGAUGUCAAACUUUACAAACUUCAGACUGACUCUACUUUUUCUACUGAGUCUGAUAAAACAAGGUGACCAGCUUCAUUUAUUUGUUGUUUUACAGCACAAUGAAAUGUGAGCUGUCGCUCCUUCACACUGCGCACACACACACACACACACACACACACACACACACACACACACACAAAGCAUAUCUACACACAUUUUCAUUCCAUAAUAUAUGCAGUUACUUAUAUAGAAAUGAUCAUUAUGGAUGGUUUGUUAAAUGUGUUUAAAACUCAUUUCAGCUCUAAGUUUGACUUUUCUCUGUCUAAUGCGUCUUCUCUGUCUUUAUGUCUCUCUUGUGUUUUGUGCUCUGCUUGGUGCUCUUUGCUGCUGUGGAGCUUUGUGUCUCCAGGGCUGCAGACCUGUUUGGAGGGUCAUCAGCAGCAGGAGUCACACCUGGGCCAGGUUCAAAGAUGGACAUCACCCUCUUGAUCAAAGUGAUUUUGGAGAGGUCUGAGGUGUCUCGUGACGAGCUGGUCUGAGCAGACUGAAACACAAGUGAACAUAACGUGUGCUUGGACGGUACCUGCUCUGCCUCCAGCAGCAGCCGGCUGAUAGAACGCACAGUAAUAAAUGUACCUGUGAGUCACAAGAACAUGGCUGAUGCUUCCAUGGACACGUUACUCCAACUGGUCUCCGCCAACCUCUCCAUUCACACUGUGAGACUCUUUAAGAACAACAUUGUGGACAGAACAUCUGUAAAGAAACACAAGCAGAUUGAAAUGUGGUGAACCGGUCGUCAGCGUGCUGGUACUGUGCUCAUCAGGUAAUCGCUGUUUUAUGUUUAAUAUUUAUUUCUUGUCCCGAAAGUACUGUAGAUUAAUUUCUUAUGGUGUUCAUAUUUGUGGUUGACACCAUGUGAUAAUUCUCCCCACAUCAGAUUGUUCUGUUGGGAUCAUGACUUCAUUAUUUUUGUAUUGUGGCAAAACAAGCAGACAGAAUUUAUCAUUGUGGGAAAAAUUAUUUUUAAUUUGGAUGCAGAGCAGUACUAUUCUGAAGUAGUGUAAAAAUGGACAGCUGUAAAUAUACUAAAAAAUACUUGAUAUAAAAGAGUCAAAUGCCUGUAACCACAUUAUUUCAUUGAGUUAUGUAUGUCUGAUUUACAUUUAUUACAGUCAUGUUAGAGAGUAUACGAAUUAAAAUUAAAAAUAAAUAAAACCACUUAUCUAAUUUAAAUUUUAAUUAUAAUAUAAUAAUAAUAACAUAAUUUAUUUUACAUUAAAUUAAGAACAUUGAUAGCCAACUAAUUAAUUCAGUUGCUUAAAAUAUAUUAAACUAUCACUUGAGAGCUCUGAUUGAUAAUUAAAAAGAAUAAUUAUUCCCAAAAUGACCAUAUCAGUGGUAAAGAUUGAAUGAUUUUGGGGUUCUAAACACAGUAGUUUGUGAUUCGUUCAUUCUUGUGCAAAAUUAAACAGACAGCGAGUUUGAUCCUAAAAAACACUGAUUGAAAAGAAAGCACACAAAAACAAAGACAUAAUAUAGAGAAAAGCGGCAAUUCUGAGGUUCAAGCCAGCACAGACCUUUAAAAGUUGAAUGCUGGGUAGGAUCAAGAUCUUUGACAAUUUAGCGUGCCUGCAUUAGACAUAAAGAAAAGGUUUUAUGAUCAUCAGAGAGACAGUCAUUUACUUACAUCCAAAUCGUUACUGGGCCACGCUCUUCUUAAGAAACACAGUUGCUUCCGAUUGGUCAACAGCAGGAACAUUUUGGGGACCUGUUUUAAUGGCUGAGUUAAAAAGCCCACAGAGUUUGAUGAUGUGUGAACAAACCCUUUUUCAAAAUAAUUUAACACAUGUGGUUCAUCAUUAUUAUUCAACAUACCCUGCAACUUUUGUGAUAAUGUGACAAUCAGUUUCCGAUUUCUAGUCUGAUGUUAUCCCACAGACAUUUUUAUUUCUUUCUUUUGUGCAUUUGUGUUGCCCCCUAGUGGUCAAUUUAAACCAAACUUUCAGGAUGUGUUUCUGGUACCUCUGACAGCAUUACUUGAGAGGGUUGUGAUGAUUGGCUCAAAGGUUGUGGGGUUUUGAGCUAAGCCACGCCUCCUCUAAAGUUUAUUGGUCAUUGAAAACAAAAUAUAUAGAUAUCAAUAACAGUUCUCACAUCAUUCUGCUGAUUUCAGGUAUAUUGUCAAAUAUUUUGGUGACAUUUGGUUGAA